GGCAGCACGGAGCUUGCUCUGGUGGCGAGUGGCGAACGGGUGAGUAAUGCGUCGGAACGUAUCCAAUAAUGGGGGAUAACGCAGCGAAAGCUGUGCUAAUACCGCAUACGCCCUCCGGGGGAAAGCAGGGGAUCGUAAGACCUUGCGUUAAUGGAGCGGCCGACGUCUGAUUAGCUAGUUGGUAGGGUAAAGGCCUACCAAGGCGACGAUCAGUAGCUGGUCUGAGAGGAUGAUCAGCCACACUGGGACUGAGACACGGCCCAGACUCCUACGGGAGGCAGCAGUGGGGAAUUUUGGACAAUGGGCGCAAGCCUGAUCCAGCCAUUCCGCGUGAGUGAAGAAGGCCUUCGGGUUGUAAAGCUCUUUCAGGAGGGAAGAAACGAUUGUGGCUAAUACCCAUGAUUAAUGACGGUACCUUCAGAAGAAGCACCGGCUAACUACGUGCCAGCAGCCGCGGUAAUACGUAGGGUGCGAGCGUUAAUCGGAAUUACUGGGCGUAAAGCGUGCACAGGCGGUUUUUCAAGUCUGAUGUGAAAUCCCCGGGCUUAACCUGGGAACUGCGUUGGAAACUGAAAGACUAGAGUGCGGCAGAGGGGGGUAGAAUUCCACGUGUAGCAGUGAAAUGCGUAGAUAUGUGGAGGAAUACCGAUGGCGAAGGCAGCCCCCUGGGUCGACACUGACGCUCAUGCACGAAAGCGUGGGUAGCAAACAGGAUUAGAUACCCUGGUAGUCCACGCCCUAAACGAUGUCAACUAGUUGUUGGGGAGGGAGACCUCCUUAGUAACGCAGCUAACGCGUGAAGUUGACCGCCUGGGGAGUACGGUCGCAAGAUUAAAACUCAAAGGAAUUGACGGGGGCCCGCACAAGCGGUGGAUUAUGUGGAUUAAUUCGAUGCAACGCGAAAAACCUUACCUACCCUNGAC
Molecule: ribosomal RNA, 923 nt
Filed under: uncultured bacterium
Lineage: Bacteria
Description: bacterial SSU rRNA
Rfam family: Bacterial small subunit ribosomal RNA
Source: RNAcentral